This 229-nucleotide long non-coding RNA is filed under the name Salvia miltiorrhiza (redroot sage). RNAcentral describes it as "long non-coding RNA (SMIL_LNC013073)". Lineage: Eukaryota; Viridiplantae; Streptophyta; Magnoliopsida; Lamiales; Lamiaceae. The record is from RNAcentral.
CGUCCGCCAAGAUUAUGUCACUUUCCUUUUAUGGCAAUGGUCCCACCAUCCUCUUUAAUAUUUUAUUCUUACUAACACUCUUUAUUUACAAAAAAACCACUCAAAAUUCAAUCUCAACCACUCAUCUCAUAAAGUGGUGGGACCUUUUCUCCACUACAUCAAAAUCAUCACCAAUUUUAUUAAAUCUCGUGCCCAAGCAAAUUGCCAUAAUCUUGGCGGACGGAGGGAG